AUUGAACGCUGGCGGAAUGCUUUACACAUGCAAGUCGAACGGCAGCACGGGGGCAGCCCUGGUGGCGAGUGGCGAACGGGUGAGUAAUACAUCGGAACGUGCCCGGUCGUGGGGGAUAACGUAGCGAAAGUUACGCUAAUACCGCAUACGAUCUGAGGAGGAAAGCGGGGGACCUUCGGGCCUCGCGCGAUCGGAGCGGCCGAUGUCAGAUUAGGUAGUUGGUGGGGUAAAGGCCUACCAAGCCGACGAUCUGUAGCUGGUCUGAGAGGACGACCAGCCACACUGGGACUGAGACACGGCCCAGACUCCUACGGGAGGCAGCAGUGGGGAAUUUUGGACAAUGGGCGCAAGCCUGAUCCAGCCAUUCCGCGUGCAGGACGAAGGCCUUCGGGUUGUAAACUGCUUUUGUACGGAACGAAAAGGCUCUGGCUAAUACCUGGGGCUCAUGACGGUACCGUAAGAAUAAGCACCGGCCAACUACGUG
Molecule: ribosomal RNA, 484 nt
Filed under: uncultured bacterium
Lineage: Bacteria
Description: partial 16S ribosomal RNA
Rfam family: Bacterial small subunit ribosomal RNA
Source: RNAcentral